This 1552-nucleotide ribosomal RNA is filed under the name Salmonella enterica. RNAcentral's name for it is "bacterial SSU rRNA". It matches the Rfam family "Bacterial small subunit ribosomal RNA". The record is from RNAcentral. Lineage: Bacteria; Pseudomonadati; Pseudomonadota; Gammaproteobacteria; Enterobacterales; Enterobacteriaceae. RNAcentral also lists the same sequence under 1 other name.
AAAUUGAAGAGUUUGAUCAUGGCUCAGAUUGAACGCUGGCGGCAGGCCUAACACAUGCAAGUCGAACGGUAGCACAGAGAGCUUGCUCUCGGGUGACGAGUGGCGGACGGGUGAGUAAUGUCUGGGAAACUGCCUGAUGGAGGGGGAUAACUACUGGAAACGGUGGCUAAUACCGCAUAAUGUCGCAAGACCAAAGAGGGGGACCUUCGGGCCUCUUGCCAUCAGAUGUGCCCAGAUGGGAUUAGCUAGUUGGUGAGGUAACGGCUCACCAAGGCGACGAUCCCUAGCUGGUCUGAGAGGAUGACCAGCCACACUGGAACUGAGACACGGUCCAGACUCCUACGGGAGGCAGCAGUGGGGAAUAUUGCACAAUGGGCGCAAGCCUGAUGCAGCCAUGCCGCGUGUAUGAAGAAGGCCUUCGGGUUGUAAAGUACUUUCAGCGGGGAGGAAGGUGUUGUGGUUAAUAACCUCAGCAAUUGACGUUACCCGCAGAAGAAGCACCGGCUAACUCCGUGCCAGCAGCCGCGGUAAUACGGAGGGUGCAAGCGUUAAUCGGAAUUACUGGGCGUAAAGCGCACGCAGGCGGUCUGUCAAGUCGGAUGUGAAAUCCCCGGGCUCAACCUGGGAACUGCAUUCGAAACUGGCAGGCUUGAGUCUUGUAGAGGGGGGUAGAAUUCCAGGUGUAGCGGUGAAAUGCGUAGAGAUCUGGAGGAAUACCGGUGGCGAAGGCGGCCCCCUGGACAAAGACUGACGCUCAGGUGCGAAAGCGUGGGGAGCAAACAGGAUUAGAUACCCUGGUAGUCCACGCCGUAAACGAUGUCUACUUGGAGGUUGUGCCCUUGAGGCGUGGCUUCCGGAGCUAACGCGUUAAGUAGACCGCCUGGGGAGUACGGCCGCAAGGUUAAAACUCAAAUGAAUUGACGGGGGCCCGCACAAGCGGUGGAGCAUGUGGUUUAAUUCGAUGCAACGCGAAGAACCUUACCUGGUCUUGACAUCCACGGAAGUUUUCAGAGAUGAGAAUGUGCCUUCGGGAACCGUGAGACAGGUGCUGCAUGGCUGUCGUCAGCUCGUGUUGUGAAAUGUUGGGUUAAGUCCCGCAACGAGCGCAACCCUUAUCCUUUGUUGCCAGCGGUCCGGCCGGGAACUCAAAGGAGACUGCCAGUGAUAAACUGGAGGAAGGUGGGGAUGACGUCAAGUCAUCAUGGCCCUUACGACCAGGGCUACACACGUGCUACAAUGGCGCAUACAAAGAGAAGCGACCUCGCGAGAGCAAGCGGACCUCAUAAAGUGCGUCGUAGUCCGGAUUGGAGUCUGCAACUCGACUCCAUGAAGUCGGAAUCGCUAGUAAUCGUGGAUCAGAAUGCCACGGUGAAUACGUUCCCGGGCCUUGUACACACCGCCCGUCACACCAUGGGAGUGGGUUGCAAAAGAAGUAGGUAGCUUAACCUUCGGGAGGGCGCUUACCACUUUGUGAUUCAUGACUGGGGUGAAGUCGUAACAAGGUAACCGUAGGGGAACCUGCGGUUGGAUCACCUCCUUACCUUAAAGAAGC